UAGGUUUUUUUCAUCUUCUCCCUCCCUCCCUCUCUCUCUCUCUCUCUCUCUCUUUUCUCUUAUUAUCUUAGGAAGAGAUUGAAAAAAACUCAGGGAAGCAAAGAGGGAGAAAGAGAAAGAGAGAGAGGGGGAGGAAGAAAAAAAAACGAAAAUG
RNAcentral lists this non-coding RNA (154 nucleotides) under Brugia malayi. The record is from RNAcentral. Lineage: Eukaryota; Metazoa; Nematoda; Chromadorea; Rhabditida; Onchocercidae.